RNAcentral lists this ribosomal RNA (377 nucleotides) under uncultured bacterium. RNAcentral's name for it is "bacterial SSU rRNA". It matches the Rfam family "Bacterial small subunit ribosomal RNA", at positions 28 to 404 of the family's 1533-position model. The record is from RNAcentral.
GACGAACGCUGGCGGCGUGCUUAACACAUGCAAGUCGAGCGGUAAGGCCCUUUCGGGGGUACACGAGCGGCGAACGGGUGAGUAACACGUGGGUGACCUGCCCUCAGCUCUGGGAUAAGCCUGGGAAACUGGGUCUAAUACUGGAUAUGACUCCACGGUGCAUGUCGUGGGGUGGAAAGCCUUGUGCGGCUGAGGAUGGGCCCGCGGCCUAUCAGCUUGUUGGUGGGGUGAANGGGCCUACCAAGGCGACGACGGGUAGCCGGCCUGAGAGGGCGACCGGCCACACUGGGACUGAGACACGGCCCAGACUCCUACGGGAGGCAGCAGUGGGGAAUCUUGCGCAAUGGGCGAAAGCCUGACGCAGCGACGCCGCGUGA